GAUGAACGCUGGCAGCGUGCCUAAUACAUGCAAGUCGAGCGAACAGACGAGGAGCUUGCUCCUCUGACGUUAGCGGCGGACGGGUGAGUAACACGUGGAUAACCUACCUAUAAGACUGGGAUAACUUCGGGAAACCGGAGCUAAUACCGGAUAAUAUAUUGAACCGCAUGGUUCAAUAGUGAAAGACGGUUUUGCUGUCACUUAUAGAUGGAUCCGCGCCGCAUUAGCUAGUUGGUAAGGUAACGGCUUACCAAGGCAACGAUGCGUAGCCGACCUGAGGGUGAUCGGCCACACUGGAACUGAGACACGGUCCAGACUCCUACGGGAGGCAGCAGUAGGGAAUCUUCCGCAAUGGGCGAAAGCUUGACGGAGCAACGCCGCGUGAGUGAUGAAGGUCUUCGGAUCGUAAAACUCUGUUAUUAGGGAAGAACAAAUGUGUAAGUAACUAUGCACGUCUUGACGGUACCUAAUCAGAAAGCCACGGCUAACUACGUG
RNAcentral lists this ribosomal RNA (495 nucleotides) under uncultured bacterium. RNAcentral describes it as "partial 16S ribosomal RNA". It matches the Rfam family "Bacterial small subunit ribosomal RNA", at positions 28 to 507 of the family's 1533-position model. The record is from RNAcentral.